AGAACGAACGCUGGCGGCAGGCUUAACACAUGCAAGUCGAACGCGUGUAGCAAUACACGAGUGGCGCACGGGUGAGUAACGCGUGGAUAUCUGCCUUUUGGUUCGGAAUAACCCCGGGAAACUGGGGCUAAUACCGGAUAGUUCCUACGGGAUAAAGAUUUAUCGCCAAAAGAUGAGUCCGCGUACGAUUAGCUAGUUGGUGAGGUAAUGGCUCACCAAGGCGACGAUCGUUAGCUGGUCUGAGAGGACGAUCAGCCACACUGGGACUGAGACACGGCCCAGACUCCUACGGGAGGCAGCAGUGGGGAAUAUUGGACAAUGGGGGCAACCCUGAUCCAGCCAUGCCGCGUGAGUGAUGAAGGCCUUCGGGUUGUAAAGCUCUUUUGGCGGGACGAUGAUGACGGUACCCGCAGAAUAAGCCCGGCUAACUUCGUGCCAGCAGCCGC
This 446-nucleotide ribosomal RNA is filed under the name uncultured bacterium. RNAcentral describes it as "SSU rRNA". It matches the Rfam family "Bacterial small subunit ribosomal RNA", at positions 26 to 518 of the family's 1533-position model. The record is from RNAcentral.